CCUACGGGCGGCAGCAGUAGGGAAUAUUGCUCAAUGGGGGAAACCCUGAAGCAGCAACGCCGCGUGGAGGAUGACGGUUUUAGGAUUGUAAACUCCUUUUGUGCGAGAAGAUAAUGACGGUAUCUCACGAAUAAGCACCGGCUAACUCCGUGCCAGCAGCCGCGGUAAUACGGAGGGUGCAAGCGUUACUCGGAAUCACUGGGCGUAAAGGGUGCGCAGGCGGGCUUGUCAGUCAGGUGUGAAAACCUGUAGCUUAACUCCAGAGCUGCAUUUGAAACUAUGAGUCUAGAGUGUGGGAGAGGUAGGUGGAAUUCUUGGUGUAGGGGUAAAAUCCGUAGAUAUCAAGAGGAAUACCAAUGGCGAAGGCGACCUACUGGAACAUUACUGACGCUGAGGCACGAAAGCGUGGGGAGCAAACAGGAUUAGAUACCCUUGUAGUC
RNAcentral lists this ribosomal RNA (440 nucleotides) under uncultured bacterium. RNAcentral's name for it is "partial 16S ribosomal RNA". It matches the Rfam family "Bacterial small subunit ribosomal RNA", at positions 338 to 795 of the family's 1533-position model. The record is from RNAcentral.